RNAcentral lists this unclassified non-coding RNA (235 nucleotides) under uncultured Agaricomycetes. RNAcentral describes it as "sequence contains ITS1". The record is from RNAcentral. Lineage: Eukaryota; Fungi; Basidiomycota; Agaricomycetes.
UUGAAUAAUUUUGGGUAGGUUGCUGCUGGCUCUCACAGGGCAUGUGCACGCCGACUCCAAUUUUUCAACUCCCUGUGCACCUUUGCAUAGAUCUGAAUCUUUUGAGGAAAACUCAGUUUGAGAAUUGUUGCGCAAGAAAGGCCGACUCUUCUUGUUUUCAGAUUUGUGUUUUCACACACAACUUAUAUGUAUUUGAAUAUAAACUAUAUUGGCCUUGUGCCUUUAAAAAUUAGUA